CAAAAAGAAUAAGAGCAGGAAUCCAAUCUGCUAGUAUAAUGCAGUAAUGAAGAUCAUGUGCAUUGAUGCCGGGCAGCCUUGGUGUCAAUUCUUGCUCUGCUGCUUACUACAUAUGGGAUCUUGAACCAGUCACUUAGCUUCCUGUUCCUCAUUUCCAAUCUCAUAGGGCUAUGGUGAAGAUUAUAGAAGAGAGUGCUUUGAACUAUGCCUGGCACGAGCCCCAGAUGGGAUGGACCAUCUAACUGCAGGAAAACAAGCUGAGGGCUCCCACUGAUUCCACAUUAUGUGCCUCCUCUUGCCCAUGGAAGGAAUCCAGCUUCUUGGUUCUUCACUGCCCAACCCAGUUUAGUGGCUGGCCAUUCCACAGAGAGGAUCCUCCACACUACCUGAGCCCUGAUGUCUCUGGCUCCAAAGGAUGCAGCUCUGCUCAUCCCCCCUGAGGCCCGUCAUGAGUUGCUGUGGCUGUGGAAGCCUGCUGUCCUGGGAUGGAGACUCUUCCCACUGCCCUGUCCCUUCAGUUUCAGCAGAAGCAUGAUCCUGCUCCAUGUGGAUCCCUGAAGCAGCAGAUCUGGAACUCCGCUGAUGCUGGAGCCUUCAGGGACCACGAGAAACCCAUCUCAAUGAUGAAUCCUGGGCUUUUUUUCCCCCUUGGGACAGUCCUGGUUUCAAACAUUUACCUCGGAAAGAGCACUCAACAGCUGCCACGUGGCUGCCCUGAGGUUUGGGCUGAAACAACAUGACCAUUAUACCUA
This is a long non-coding RNA of Sapajus apella (tufted capuchin), 752 nucleotides long. RefSeq lists it as uncharacterized. The record is from RefSeq and is a predicted model, not a curated record. The transcript is spliced from 3 exons. NCBI's taxonomy places the organism in Eukaryota, Metazoa, Chordata, Mammalia, Primates, Cebidae.